Molecule: ribosomal RNA, 441 nt
Filed under: uncultured bacterium
Lineage: Bacteria
Description: bacterial SSU rRNA
Rfam family: Bacterial small subunit ribosomal RNA
Source: RNAcentral
UACGGAAGGCAGCAGUGGGGAAUAUUGCACAAUGGGCGCAAGCCUGAUGCAGCCAUGCCGCGUGUAUGAAAAAGGCCUUCGGGUUGUAAAGUACUUUCAGUCGUGAGGAAGGUGUUAAGGUUAAUAACCUUAGCAAUUGACGUUAGCGACAGAAGAAGCACCGGCUAACUCCGUGCCAGCAGCCGCGGUAAUACGGAGGGUGCGAGCGUUAAUCGGAAUUACUGGGCGUAAAGGGCACGCAGGCGGUUAAUUAAGUUGGAUGUGGAAUCCCCGGGCUUAACCUGGGAAUGGCAUUCAAGACUGGUUAGCUAGAGUCUUGUAGAGGGGGUUAGAAUUCCAUGUGUAGCGGUGAAAUGCGUAGAGAUGUGGAGGAAUACCGGUGGCGAAGGCGGCCCCUGGACAAAGGCUGACGCUCAUGUGCGAAAGCGUGGGGAGCGAAAC